UGGGGAAUAUUGGACAAUGGGCGAAAGCCUGAUCCAGCAAUGCCGCGUGAGUGAUGAAGGCCUUAGGGUUGUAAAGCUCUUUUACCCGGGAUGAUAAUGACAGUACCGGGAGAAUAAGCCCCGGCUAACUCCGUGCCAGCAGCCGCGGUAAUACGGAGGGGGCUAGCGUUGUUCGGAAUUACUGGGCGUAAAGCGCGCGUAGGCGGCUUUGUAAGUCAGAGGUGAAAGCCUGGAGCUCAACUCCAGAACUGCCUUUGAAACUACAUCGCUAGAAUCGUGGAGAGGUAAGUGGAAUUCCGAGUGUAGAGGUGAAAUUCGUAGAUAUUCGGAAGAACACCAGUGGCGAAGGCGACUUACUGGACACGUAUUGACGCUGAGGUGCGAAAGCGUGGGGAGCAAACAGG
This 404-nucleotide ribosomal RNA is filed under the name uncultured Sphingomonas sp. RNAcentral describes it as "bacterial SSU rRNA". It matches the Rfam family "Bacterial small subunit ribosomal RNA", at positions 355 to 776 of the family's 1533-position model. Lineage: Bacteria; Pseudomonadati; Pseudomonadota; Alphaproteobacteria; Sphingomonadales; Sphingomonadaceae. The record is from RNAcentral.